Molecule: microRNA precursor, 83 nt
Filed under: Chlorocebus sabaeus (green monkey)
Lineage: Eukaryota; Metazoa; Chordata; Mammalia; Primates; Cercopithecidae
Description: miRNA (ENSCSAG00000023578.1)
Source: RNAcentral
UAAGGUGACCAACUGUCCCCUGGUUUGCCUGGGACUGACAUUCUCCUGGGACACAGGACUUUCAGUGCUAAAACUAGGAAAGU